CGUGCGUGCGUGCGUGCGUGCGUGAGGUGGAGAACUGCCCACAGUGAUCGAAAGUGGGCAUCGGUUUCCCUGAAGCUCGAGUUACAGGCAGUUGUGAAGUUCCGUAUGUGUUUUCUCAACCACUCAUGAUGAAAGGGAAGACAGCGUUUCUCUUCAGUUUCUUCUCUCCUGUGUGGGUGAGAAGGGACUUCUCUGUUAAGCAACAUUCGGCAAGUACAAGAGGUGCAUGCAGGGUUCCUGAACCAGGAGCAAGGGACUCGGUUAUCUAGAAGGCACGGCAGCUGCUGCAAGCUGGCUGCCCUUUGUCCCUAAGAGGCUAACAGUAAACCACCAAGCUGAUUCUAUUCCUUCUCACACGGGAUGAUGAUGAGCAGUGUUUUUCAGAAUCUGAAACAGGCUGACUUUAUACCCUGACUCGUUUAGCCCAGUUCACUAACAGUUGCUAAAACAAAACAAUUGAAAAUAUCCAUGGACACACAUGUGGGUCCAUGCACACACACACACACAUACACAUACACCCAGGGGAGAGAGACAGUGAGAGAGAGAAAGAGAGAGAGAGAGAGAGAGAGAGAGAGAGAGAGAGAGAGAGAAACAGAGAGAGAAACAGAGAGAGAGAAACAGAGAGAGAGAAACAGAGAGAGAGAAACAGAGAGGGAGAGGAGGAGGAAGAGGAGGAAGAGAAGGGAAGGAAGGAGGGAAGGAGGGAGGGAGGGAGAGAGACAGAGAGAGAUUGAGUUCAGAUCAAACUGUCUGAUGAGAAUUAGGUGAUUAUCACUGGCCUCUCUAUUCCAGUCUAAACCAAAAACAGAGAGCUAUUUUCCAAUGUGUGUGUGUGUGUGUGUGUGUGUGUGUGUGUGUGUGUGUGUGUGUGUGUAUUUGGGACAGAUAGAAAAUAGCAAACCGUGGCAUAUUCAAAGAGCUCCAACAAAUAAAGUGUUUUCAUAGGCAAAACUGAUGACUUCUACAUCAGAUAUUUUAGCCCUUGGUCACAGUGGUGAGUAAGAAUGGCCUUGGUCCUGGACUGAACACACCAUUUGGACAGAUGUCCUUGUACAAGUACUUUUUAUGUAAGGUUGUGGUGGCAUUUUGUGGGUGCGCUAUGCUGCAGUGUAGGCUGCAAGUCUUCCGUGUCCUUCGUGGUACUGCUGACCAGGCAACUUUGCAUAAGAAGCUUCCUUCAAAAUCUCUGGGCUCUGUUUAUUUUUUUUUUCAAGUUGGCAGGAUGAGUCUAUUUUGAUUUUGAAAACUUUCGCAGUUCUUUUAUAUAAGAGACAGCUCAAGGAUUCAGGUGUCUCCAGUUAAACUAUUUCAGCAUCUUCCUAAUGGAGUUCUGACUUGGCUUGUAUGCAGAGUUAGAUAACUUUAGGAGCCAGAGUGGGAAAUGGUCCACUUUACUUCUUUCUACAAGCCAUACCCCUCCAGUCCCAAAACCCAUUUGGAUGGAAAGGAAGACUUUGUGUACACCUGGAAAGAGAAUACAGAACUACAGGUUCUUAUGUGGGUCUCAUAGUUUCCCAGGUCUGUCAGUUUGACUGAAAGUAAAUGACAUCCUUUAACCGAAAGUCAACAUUUCUUCCAAUUAAAUGUAGGUGUGGUACAUGCUGCUUGUCUCGGUCAGGGCUUCUAUUCCUGCACAAACAUCAUGACCAGGAAGCAAGAUGGGAAGGAAAGGAUUUGUUCAGCUUACACUUCCACAUUGCUGUUCAUCACCAAAGGAAGUCAGGACUGGAACUCAAGUCGGUCAGGAAGCAGGAGCUGAUGCAGAGGCCAUGGAGGGAUAUGUCUUACUGGCUUGCUCAGUUUGCUCUCUUAUAGAACCCAAGACUACCAGCCUAGGGAUGGCACCACCCACAGUGGACUGGGUCCUCCCCCCCUUCAUCACUAAUUGAGAAAAAUGCCUUACAGCUGGGUCUCGUGGAGGCAUUUCCUCAACUGAGUUUCCUUUCUCUGUGAUAACUCCAGCUUGUGUCAAGUUGACACACUAAACCAGCCAGUGCACUGUGGUACGCUAAGCCUCAGGCAGUUGGGUCCACCUAAAUUCAGUUCAGCUGAGGUAAUCAAUUUCAUAUGUGAUAUCAGUGUCUCUUCUAGGAGAUGAUGUAGCUGUUCCUGUCUGUAUCCAUGUCUUCUUCAGAGUUUGAGAAGGUCACUGGAUGGAUACACGGGUACCAUCUAAAAAUACAAACUGGCUAAUGACCACAGGGCAACAUGUAGAGGUUCACGUGUAAAUAGAGCAGCUGCGAGUUCUUUACUGCAGCAAUUGUGAAGAACGCUCUAAAACUUUUUCAAAAUUUUCCAUGUAGACUCCACUGCCAUUUGUUCUUAUGGAAGAUCAAUACAAUGAUGGACUAUUUGCCUACUUUUCUUUGCUAACUCCUUCUCCCCAGUUACUCACUCUUUCCUGAGAUGAUCUCCCAAGUAAACUAGCUAUGUCAAGGCAUCAUGACAGCCAGUUUAAGCAUUGGUGUGAAAACAGGUUCUACCAAAACAUACCUCACUAUGGGUCUUUCCAGCUAAAUUACCAUAUAGUCAUAUAACAACAGUUGCAUGUUUAAGUGUGAGGAGAUGAACACUACAUGUGCUGUGACAUCAUAGUGACUGGGAGUAGCUACUGUAUACUGUGUGUGGUAAAAGUACAAGGCAAAACAUGAACAUCAUUCAGGUGUCAGAAUGGUAUAGGGCAGCGGUUCUCAACAUGUGUGUCAUGACCCCUUUAGGGGUUAGGGGUUCAAAUGAUCUUUCCACAGGGGUUACAUAUCAGACAUUUACAUUACAAUUUAUAAUGGUAGAACACUAUAAUUAUUAAAUGGCAAUAAAAUAACUUUAUGGUUGGGGUCACCACAACAUGAGGAACUAUAUUAAAGGUCACACAGCAUUAGCAAGGUUGAGAACCACUGAUUUAGGGACAAAUGUCUCUUAAAGGAAUUAGUUAUGUAAGCUGGGCUUGGUGGCUCAUGUUCAUAGUCCCUUGGGCAGAACAAUCCCUGGGGUUUUUUUGUUUGUUUGUUUGUUUGUUUGUUUUAGCAAGCAUGAACUACAUAAUUAAGUUCCAGGCCAGCCUGGCCUAUAGAGUGAGACCCUGUCUCAAAACUACACGAGAAUGAGAGAUACGUAGAUAAGACUGAGAACUUGGAAUUGCAAGCUUCUUUUAAACUCUUUGUGUUGUAAAAAUAAUCUCACCUUCUUCUAGGGAAGCAGCCUUCUAUCGACUAAAGACCUUGGGGUAGCUCAGCUAAAGGAGACGUUCAUCACACAUGCCUUAAUUCUUAAAGGCCAAACUUCCUUCACUAUGUCUGUCCAAAAAGACUGCUAUCUAGUCCAUGCAGCGAAGAAUAAUUCUUGGAAUAAAUCAUAAAAUUUGUAAAAUUGGAGCAAUAUAUACUAAUGAGAGCUAAACAUGAGCUUAUGACCCAGGUUGAGGAAGGGUUAAUGAACAUGACUAUCCUCCCUCAGAUCUUAAUGCCCUAGAGCCACUUCCUCCCUGUUGCUAUAGUGGAUCCAUUAUGCUUGGAUGCGACAUUGUACUAUAUUAGAGGAAGCAGAGAUGACAGACUGUGUUUGGUAAAUUGAAGGAAGGAGCAGAAGGACUAGAUAAAUGGGCACUUUGGAUGGAUUAAUUAUUUGAGACUGAAGAACUUACUACCUGACUGUUCCAUUGAAGAUAAAGCACAUCCCUCUCCAAGGACAAAGCUAUACUAGCCAUAGAGAUACCAAUGCCACUGAGAAAUUUGGUCUAGGCUAUUAGGGGAAUAAUUUUCUUAACCUUGUAGAAUCCUUGAGGAUUUUAUCGGGACUCAUAUGAGUUCCUAUAAGCUAUACCUACUGUCUUAGUUAAGGCUUUAUUGCUGUAAAGAGACACUAUGACCAAUGCAAAUAUUUAAUUGUGAGUAACUUAACAGUUUCAGAGGUUCAGUUCAUUAUCAUGGCAGGAAGCAUGGCAGCCUGCUGGAGGAGCCAAGAAUUCUGCAUCUUCAUCCGAAGGCAGCCAAGAAGAGACUGUCUUCCUGAAGGCAGUCAGGAGGUGAAGACUCUCUUCCACACUGAGGAGAACUUGAGCACUAGGAGACCGCAAAGCCUACCUAUACACUUCAACAAAACCACAUGUAUUCCAAUAAGACCACACCUCCUAAUAGUGCCAUAUCCUGCGGACCAAGUGAGUUUAAAUCAUCAUACCUACUAAUCACAAACAAAUCAGCCCAUUCCCUUUUUAAAAAAAAUGUAUUUUAAUUCACAAGUAAAUGUUGAAUGAUUAUAACAUA
Molecule: non-coding RNA, 4259 nt
Organism: Rattus norvegicus (Norway rat)
Lineage: Eukaryota; Metazoa; Chordata; Mammalia; Rodentia; Muridae
Source: RefSeq, a predicted model, not a curated record